RNAcentral lists this ribosomal RNA (458 nucleotides) under Acanthamoeba sp. 283. RNAcentral's name for it is "SSU rRNA". It matches the Rfam family "Eukaryotic small subunit ribosomal RNA", at positions 739 to 1095 of the family's 1831-position model. Lineage: Eukaryota; Discosea; Longamoebia; Acanthamoebidae. The record is from RNAcentral.
UGGCCCAGAUCGUUUACCGUGAAAAAAUUAGAGUGUUCAAAGCAGGCAGAUCCAAUUUUCUGCCACCGAAUACAUUAGCAUGGGAUAAUGGAAUAGGACCCUGUCCUCCUAUUUUCAGUUGGUUUUGGCAGCGCGAGGACUAGGGUAAUGAUUAAUAGGGAUAGUUGGGGGCAUUAAUAUUUAAUUGUCAGAGGUGAAAUUCUUGGAUUUAUGAAAGAUUAACUUCUGCGAAAGCAUCUGCCAAGGAUGUUUUCAUUAAUCAAGAACGAAAGUUAGGGGAUCGAAGACGAUCAGAUACCGUCGUAGUCUUAACCAUAAACGAUGCCGACCAGCGAUUAGGAGACGUUGAAUACAAAACACCACCAUCGGUGCGGUCGUCCUUGGCGUCGGUUUCGGCCGGCGCGGGGGCGGCUUAGCCCGGUGGCACCGGUGAAUGACUCCCCUAGCAGCUUGUGAGA